CCGACCCUGAACAAUAAGCAAAAUCAAGUUGAGAAAGGAAACAUACGUGGUAACUGCCAAAACAGUUGCGAGAACCAGCUAUGCAACCGUACCCCGGGAACUUGGUUCCAAAAUGGUCGACUAGAUAAGUCCAACUGUCCAUCGUUUGAGUGACAUCAGUCAUUGCUAAACUUGCCCAAGGGUUGUCCCUUCGAAUCCAUCGGCGCACGUGCAGAUGAAGAAGCUCGUUUGGAUAAGCUGGCGCUUCAGGGGUGGAUCCAGGAAUUUUCGGGAGGGAUCAGACCGAAGAUUUGUACGGGUAUG
Molecule: long non-coding RNA, 303 nt
Organism: Acanthaster planci (crown-of-thorns starfish)
Lineage: Eukaryota; Metazoa; Echinodermata; Asteroidea; Valvatida; Acanthasteridae
Source: RefSeq, a predicted model, not a curated record